AACUUUAAAUCUGAAUUAACAAAAGUUAAGGGAAAAUUAGUCAGACAUUACACUGCUGCAGGACGGGGACCUCUAUUGGAAAGGGGGAGAAGUCGUCUCCGCGGAAACGGAUGUGUCGUAAAGUGAGGUUGGGCGUUUGAAGCCGUUUGAGCGGCGAAAAUCGCAUUCAAGGUCACUAUGAGCAAACAAGAAGAGUUGUGGGAGAAGCUAGACUCCGAGUUUGACCACAUUCUGCUAGACAUGAAACCGUAUGUUCUCAGGCAUCCCAGCAAAACAGAGCGUCAGCAUUGUGCCAUAUGGAUAAAGAAGCUGUGUGACCCGACAACUUGUGGUUCGGGUGUGAUGGAUCGAAAGAACCGCAACAUGUAUGCCCAUUUGCUGCUUUCUAUGCUCAAAAGGGGCAUCCUGGAGGGCCCUUUUACUGCCAAACCAGAACCCGGAAAGCUCAAGACACUUCCUACCUACAUGUCCAUUUAUUUUGAUGAACCUCUGAGUGGUCGAUCGGCUGAGCAGAGCAACAGAGGUCUUCCUGACUGGGUCACAGGAGAGCUGAGUGGUUGCGCUGAUGAAAGUUUGGCCAUGGAUCUUCUGAAGGACCGAUCCGGUUCUACACCCAUUACUGCUCAUCACAGGAGGAGACUGUACGAGGAAAAGGUCCUUCCUGAACCCAUGUCCUCUAGUUCAUUCAAGCUGAGUCCAAGACGAGACUCAAGAAUGGUGGAUGGGAUGCUAAAAGCAAAUGUGUCUGCUGGCGACAGUGAGUUGGAGACUCGCCUUAACAGCUGGAACCUCGGGAUUGAAAACCCCAGGUAUUUGAGAGAGAAGCCCAGCCCCUUGUCACCAAUUUUAAAGUCAACCAUUGAGACGAAUAGCACCUUUGCCAUUGAUCAUGGUCUACAAAGCAAAGAGACUGAGAUGAAGAUCAAACUGUUGGAGGCCAAGCACCAGGAGGAGAAACUGAAAAUGCAACAGAGACAUGAUGCAGAUGUUGAGAAGAUUCUGGACCGCAAAAAUCUGGAGAUUGAAGAGAUAAAGAGUGUGUACAGAGUUAAGCAGAAGGAAUCUGAGGAGAUGAGCCGUAAGCUUGAAAAGAAAGUUCAAAGUGUUCUGCGUGAAUCCCAGAUCAUCUGUGAGAGCAAAGAGAAGCAGAUAGCGGAGCUGAAGAAGCUCUCCGAUCAGAGUGCUGACUCUAUAAAAAAUGAGUGGGAGAAGAAGUUACAUGCAACUGUAGCAGAGAUGGAGCAGGAGAAGUUUGAAAUGCAGAGGAAACACACCGAAAACAUCCAGGAGCUGCUGGACGACACCAACCGUAGGCUGGCUAAGAUGGAGUCCGAGCACAACACUCGUUCUCAGGCCAAUGAAAAAAUAAUGCAUGAGCUGGAGCUGCGUGUGAAGCAACAGUCAGUGGAGUUGGAGAAGGCCAACGACUUGCGCAGAAAGGUGACGCAGGAGAAGGCCCGGCUGGAGAUCCACAUCGCGUCGCUUGGUGCUGAAUUGCAAGAGACAAACAAACGGAUGAUGAUGCUGCAGAAGGAGAAAGAACAGCAGAGCGAGCAACAAGAGGAGAAAGUGAUGAAUCUCCUGGCCAAACACGAGACAGACAUGAGCCACCUACAUCAGGAACACGCUCUGUCUGCCGCUAAGGCUUCAGAGAUGAUAGAGAUCUUGGAGACAACAGUGGCUCAGUUCAAGCAGCAGCUUCAGGAAAGCGAGUAUAGAAGACAACAACAAGUCAGAGAUCAAGAGAUGAAGUUCCAGCAAGAGAAAGAUGAUCUGCAGGCUUGCUGUGAGAAAAAGGUGUUGGCAGUUCACAGUGAGGCUGAGAGGGAGAAAAUUGAGGCCAAGAGGAAGAUAGCCAAACUAGAAGAUGCACUAAGAGAGAUGGAGAGCCAGCUGGACAGGGCGAAACAGAGCCAAAGACAGCAGAUCCAGCAGGCCGAUUUGGCACUGGAGCAGUUCAAGAAGCAGGUGGAGCUCAGCUCUGAGAAGGUCUACACUGACAUGAAACUCCAGAUGGAGAAGGUAGAGGAGGACUUGAUCCGCUCCAAAACCCUAAGGGAGAGCCAGGCCAAGGAGUUCUCUCUACAGCUUGAUGCACUGAGACAGAAAUAUGAGCAGCAGAUGGCUGAGCAGCACGCACAGCACGAGCAGGAGAGGACGCGGCUACAGCAGCAACACAGCGCGGAAAAGGACAACCUGGUCCAGGAGCACCAGCGGGAGGCGAGCAGCCUGGAGAGGCAGGCCAGGGCCACCCUGCAACAGCACCAGCAGCACGCCCAGGAGUGGAGGAAGCAUGAUGCCCAGACAGUUUCUGAUUUGGAGGCCCAAGUGUCAACUCUACAUGAUGAGCUCCAGCAGGCCCAUGAGCAGCACAAGCAAAAGCUGGCCGAGAUGGUGCUGCUUCAGGAGGAGGAGAGGCAAAAAGCGACCCACGCUAAGGAGGCGGCGAUGCAGCAGCUGCGCUCCGACAUGGAACGGAUGGCCAACGAUCUGAAGAAGAGCCACCAACAGGAGAUGGACGCCAAUCUGGAGAAGACCAACAGCAGGUUGAAGCAGAUUGAGAAGGAGUACAGUCAAAAGCUUGCCAAGUCUGCCCAGCUGAUUGCAGAGCUGCAGACGUCGGUAUGUGACUCUAAAGAAGAGGCUGUUCGCCUGAAGCAGGCGAUGGAGAAGCAGCUGAAGGAGGUCAAUGCUCGGUGGGACGAAGAGAGACAGGCAAUUACCCACGAUGCCGAGCAGGCCAACAAGGCUCUGCAGGAAAAGCUGGAGACUCUGCGGAGACAGCUGCACAGUGCCGAGAAGAAGCUGCUCAACAAGGAGCUGGAGACAGAAGAGAGGGUGACAAUGGUGCAUCAACAGUAUGAGGAGAAGAUCAAAGGUCUGAUGCCGGCGGAUCUCAGGAAGGAGCUGGAGGACACCAUCACCUCCCUGAAAGCUCAGGUCGGCUUUCUCCAGAAGACGGCCACUUUGCUGCAGGAAGACCUGGAUGCCUGCCGCAACAGGAGGUAACAGCAUGAAGCUCAGACACUCCAGGACAUGAAGGACGAUGCCGGCCAACAGAAUGCUGUCACUCAAACACAACAGGGGCUAUGAAACAGCAAUGGCUUUGAGUGAUCUGAGGACAAGUGGGUUAGAGGCUAUACAGACUCUGUGAAGAAGGCGCAGCAGGUUGUGUUUUUGUGAUUGUGGCAGAAAUCCGCCAUCAGAUGAUGUGGGCUGAGCAGAGGGACAGAGGCGUUUAAGACAGUGUGGGAGGUUUGUCUGCAUCUCUGACCCUCUGUCUAUGUCUUUUUUAUUUAUCUUACUCAGUGUCUGCUUUUAAUGUGGCUGUGGAUACGCAGACCACAGGGACAUCCAUCCAUCCAUCCAUCUUAAUGAAAGCUGAAAAUGCUUCUGUCUGUCUGUUCUUAGCCAGACCUUUAAAGCUGAUGCAGUUAACCUCGGCCUCUCUGAAACCUCAGUUUGAUCAGACACCUUCAGUGCCACCUCACCGAGCCGCGCUGAGCCACCAAAUGUGUCCAUUGCCGAUGCUGUGGACUCCCACAUAGUCUUGCUGUUUUGCAUUUAGAUUGAAGAGAAGCUUGCUUUCAGUUUAAAAUGCAAAUACAGCAUAAGUUAUGUAAACAAGUGAAAAAUGUCUGCUGAUUUUCGACAUGAGGUCAGUGACACGAUGAAGAUAUUUAGGGAAAGUGUUUGCACAAGAUCUCGCAAAAGUAUGGUCAAAUUCUUUUUUAUCAUAUUGCAAUUACUUGUAUUGGUGUCUUAUGUUAUAGGCUAACAUAUAACAUGGAAAAAUAUGUACAUCAGUGCUGUCCAAAGUUUUUGUAGUGGAUGCCGAAACAAUCAGAUCCUUCAUGAUUGGUUUGGUCUAUUUUGUUUUUUCCUGCCUGCCUACUUUGAUGCUGGAUGCAGUAUUGCUCAUUUAAUAAAGUUAUAUAACUGGGGAUUUUAUCUUGUAGGCAACAAAAAGUUAUAUAAUUUUUUUUAAUGCAGUUUUUUUUUUUCAAUUUUCUUUUUACCUACACAGCAAUAACAUACAAGAUGAGGGAGAAAUAGCUUGUUUUCUUUUACCAAAGACAAAAAAGAAAUCCUACAACUGCUAAGAUCUCACACCACUCCAUUUUGUUCACAUUUUGUGAAGAAGGAUGUUGCGCUCAUUUGUUCUUCAGAGGUAUACAUGUUGGUCCCCAAUUGAACCGAGUCUACCGGACUAUCGGCUGUGCUAUUGGGCCAAAUUUGGUCCAUUUUUCAAUUAAGAGUUUCGCAAAAUUCUUUCAAGGGUCACAAAUGGUUCCCUAGAGCCACAAUCUGGGCACUCCUAAGAUAAAUACUUCUUUUGCUUCCGAUCCUUCCAUGAUGUGUUGCAGUGCUACGUUUCCCCUCAACACAUAGCAUCCAGCCCAAAAUGAUUUGUUCUCAUUGGACCUGAAAACACUCUUCUGCAUGUUUCCUGUGUCUCCUUCCUCAAAGGUAUCGUCUUUAUCUUCUCUAUGUGUAACUUUACAUGGGACUUCUUCUGUCUUUCUUCUUUAAAGGCCAGACUUGUUAAGUGCAUGGGGCAACAGGAAGUAUAAAAAAAGAUACAAAUCUGGCCUCUGAUGUGUGGGCAAGCGAGUUAAUCACCUUUCCUAGUUGGAACGAGGGGGUUAGGAAGAAGGCCAACGGGGUUACGGUGAUAGAUUAAGGAUGAGUGAAGGAGUCCAGGUUAAGACUGAUUCAGAGACAAAUUGCCGUCCUGUCAAUCAUGGCAGAACUGGGGCGUCUGGCCUGUGAAGUGCCUGCAUGGUGCUUGACUGCGAGCGGCAGAGGAAAUAAAAGUCAUUACUGUCAGUGUGGAGUGAGCUUCAUGGCCCAAACGGGAUUAAACAGUGCAUCCGACAUUGUUUCUAUACAUUGGUAGACUUAAAAGUCAAGCGCAAAAUAGGAUUAAAACAAGGGGAAAAAACCAAUAAAUAACCUUCAACACCCACCAACACCCCACCACCACCCCCCCCCUUCUUCUGCUGCUGCCUUGUAUUUCUUCUCUGCCUUAUUUCCCUACCAAUUCCUUUCCUUUUUCAUGUCUCAUUCUCUUUCACCUGUCUCCCUUCCAAUUCCACUCUCUUUGACACGUUUAUCUUCGUCUUCUUCCAUCUUUCACACUCUCAUCCCCCAUUAUCAGAAUUUACAGGUGAGGCGCCGGCUGCUGCUCGCUCUCACUGCUUUCAUGUUUGACCAAAAAAAGAAAGAGAAAACAUUCUUCUGGGGCCAAUUGGCGCCUGAAAUCCAACUUCAUUCCCCUCAAACUGAACCCUUUCGAAAACAAACCCCCUGCACCACUGGCUUUUAUUCCCCACUUCUUCCUAUUUCAAAACAGCCCCCAUAACAUACUUGCGAAUUGUUGCCCUUCCUUAACUUUUAAGGCUAUUAUGCACCAUGUCCGACUUCAAAGCCUGUCUUAACUCCACACUUUAAUUGUAUCUUCCCCAACCCGCUGCGUACUAUUUGAUUCUGCUGACAACAGCACUUCUCCCUCUCUUCUCGCCCCAUAUUUCUCAUGCCAACGUUUGGUCCUGGCUUAAGUCGACCCAUUGCGCCAUCACUACCACCAUCACCAUCACCAUCACAGCUCCUCUCAUCAGCUUUAGAGCCUUUUGUCCCCCCUGUUGUUACUCACUUUGAAGAGGUAGUCUUCCAUUUCCUCUCUCUCAGCAGUCGAUUGUCUCCCGGGGUGUGUACACACCAAACAAACUUGAAACAGUAACCCCCUGUCCUGCACUGGCAGACUCCUACUCUUUCUUUAUCUUCUCUAUGAGCAAGCUGACUUCCUCCUCAUGGCUCUGGUUGAUAAUUGCCAUAAGCUUCCCUCUUGGUUUCAUUUUCCAUUGUCCUCCCCCAAAUUCUUGGCGCUGGCUCGAGAUAAAGGGAUGAGCACUUCAAAGGGGUUGCUGCGAAGAGUUUAACCCCCAAGCCGAAAAGGAACAGCACACAAUACUGUAAUUGAGAGCGAGUUACUGAUCACAGAGCUGCAGCACAGAGAGGACGGCAUGCCGAGGGGAGUGUUUAUGGCUACCGCUGAGGCGGCCGGCAGCACUAGCGACAGGUUGGAGGCUACUUAGUUGUAAAAACCUCCGCCCGUCAAAGCUAUCUGAUUGUUUGUAAUCUGAUAUGUCUUUCAGUGAAGGUGUAGGCCACUUGUGACUCACGGUCAUGUAUUUUAUGUGAUAUAUUAGUAGAUGCUCCUGGAAAAAAUUAAGUAGCCACUAUCGUGAAGACCAAGGAACACAGCCAACGGGCCAGAGAGGAAGUUGUGGAGAAGUUUAAUGCAGAAUAUAAAGCAAUAUUCCAAUUUUUUUACAUUUCACAGAGAUCUGCUCAAUCCAUUAUCUACAAAACAAACUAGUGUGGAACAACAGCACAUCUAUCAAGUCAUGGUAUCCACCUUACUCUUAGGAGGGCAUUGAACAGAGAAUCAGUCAGGAGGCUCAUAGUCACUCACUCUAUCUGGAAGGGUGACUAUGAGCAAAUUCAUGUGUUAGAAUGACCCAGUCAAAGUCCAGAUCUAAAACUAACCAGGAUUUUGUGGCCCGAUCUAGAGCUGUUUUCCAAAUAAAACACACAUGUCAGCCCUUGAAUUGCUUUAGAUAGGUCCCAAAAGCCCGUAGCUGUGCUCAGAAGCUGGGUCAGACUUUAGAAAGGGUUAACUGCACCCUAAGCUUUUGGGGUCCCAAAGGUGUUUUUUUUUUUGCUUUGUUUUUUUAAUGAAGGGAUGUUUUGUAAAAAUUGCACUUCAUAUAAAACUAAUAGGCCCAAAUUAAGUGAGAUUUAUUAAUGUUUUGGGAUUUUUAUGAAUAUAUAAAAUAUUCAAGUAUUUGAAAAAUUAUAACAUUGUGGUUGAUUUUUUUGGGAAAGAUGGAGUUAUUGGCUAAGGGACAAACUAAACCUAGCAUGCAUCAAUUCAUUGCUAGCAUGCAUCAAUUCAUGCCUGCUGAUAUAUAAGAUUGCUAUUAAUGUACUGUAAUUUUCAUUAGUAAAAUAAUUUUCCUCAGUGUAUAGGGCACCAAAACUGCCUGCAGCCCAGGGAUCCACAUCCUUGUAGAUCCGGCCCUUGUCAGAAGGUCUUUCUAUGAAGCAUUUCAUACAUUUUUCAGACUUUUUUUGUAAGAACAAACUUUCACUUCUCAGUUAUGCACUACUUUCUUUGAUCCUAAAACCUUACAUUAAACUCUGUAUUUGUAAUGUGAUAAAAUGUGAAAAUGUUGAGGGAGGAUGAAUGUUUUUACAAGGCACUCUUUGAUGCACACAAGAAAAGACUCGCCUACUUGUGAUUUAUAUGUCCCCUUCUCUGUCUAUUUGUAGGAAGUCAGAGCUUGACCUGUCCCUGUAAUAAAAUCUCCCUAUAAACGGAGAGUAACAUCCCAUAACCUCUCUCCUUGAAGCACUCUUUUCAAACGUCUUU
Molecule: RNA transcript, 7438 nt
Organism: Xiphophorus couchianus (Monterrey platyfish)
Lineage: Eukaryota; Metazoa; Chordata; Actinopteri; Cyprinodontiformes; Poeciliidae
Gene: cep112
Gene name: centrosomal protein 112
Exons: 28
Source: RefSeq, a predicted model, not a curated record